RNAcentral lists this long non-coding RNA (250 nucleotides) under Medicago truncatula (barrel medic). RNAcentral's name for it is "long non-coding RNA (MTRU_LNC007144)". The record is from RNAcentral. Lineage: Eukaryota; Viridiplantae; Streptophyta; Magnoliopsida; Fabales; Fabaceae.
UUGUUUAUAAAUGAUGAUAUGUUACUUACGUUCCCAUCUAAGAAUUUCUCAUGUAUAUAUAUCAUAACAUUUUAAAUGAUCUGUUACAGUUUUAAGACAAUUUCAUUCUUUGGUGCUCUAUCCAUGCACCUUUAAGGCAUGGAUAUAUCAUGAUCUCAACUUUAAAAUCUUCAUGAAGGUUUUUGUUUUUUAUAAAUCAAUGUAUCCUCUAUCGCAAUUACAUAAAUUAAUCAUUGGAGAUAAGUAUAUU